This 941-nucleotide ribosomal RNA is filed under the name uncultured organism. Its description in RNAcentral is "bacterial SSU rRNA". It matches the Rfam family "Bacterial small subunit ribosomal RNA", at positions 48 to 967 of the family's 1533-position model. The record is from RNAcentral.
UUAACACAUGCAAGUCAACGAGAAAGGAUAUCUUCGGAUAUCUGAUUACACUGGCGGAUGGGUGAGUAACGCGUAGGCAACCUACCUUCAGGUUUGGGAUAACACUGCUAACGCGGUGCUAAUACCGGAUGGUACAUAUACACUGCAUGGUGUAUAUGUUAAAGCUGGCCACUGAUAUAAGCUAGUACCUGUAGAUGGGCUUGCGUUUCAUUAGUUAGUUGGUGGGGUAAUGGCUCACCAAGGCGACGAUGGAUAGCCGGCCUGAGAGGGUGAUCGGCCACACUGGGACUGAGAUACGGCCCAGACUCCUACGGGAGGCAGCAGUGAGGAAUAUUGCGCAAUGGCAGAAAUGCUGACGCAGCAACGCCGCGUGAGGGAUGAAGCUUUUCGGAGUGUAAACCUUUGUUAGGAGGGACGAACGGGCAUAAUACGAAUAGGGUUAUGCCGUGACGGUACCUCCAGAGGAAGCCCCGGCUAACUCCGUGCCAGCAGCCGCGGUAAUACGGGGGGGGCAAGCGUUGUCCGGAAUCAUUGGGCGCAAAGGGCGCGUAGGCUGACAGGUCAGUCUGUGGUGCAAUCUUGUGGCUUAACCGUAAGUUUGCCAUGGAAACUACCUGUCUUGAGAUCGGAAGGGGGAAGCGGAAUUCCUGGUGUAGCGGUGAAAUGCGUAGAUAUCAGGAAGAACACCGGUGGCGAAGGCGGCUUCCUGGUCCGAGACUGACGCUGAUGCGCGAAAGCGUGGGGAGCGAACAGGAUUAGAUACCCUGGUAGUCCACGCUGUAAACGAUGGGCACUAGGUGUUGGGCGUCAAGUUCAGCGCCGGAGCAAACGCAUUAAGUGCCCCGCCUGGGGAAUACGAUCGCAAGAUUGAAACUCANAGGAAUUGACGGGGGCCCGCACAAGCGGUGGAGCAUGUGGGUUAAUUCGAUGCAACGCGAAGA